Molecule: non-coding RNA, 450 nt
Organism: Rhinolophus ferrumequinum (greater horseshoe bat)
Lineage: Eukaryota; Metazoa; Chordata; Mammalia; Chiroptera; Rhinolophidae
Source: the annotation of a RefSeq genome assembly
UUCAGGAUCAGAGUCUGCAUCCCCACCAUGACCUGGGCUCCUCUCCUCCUCACCCUCCUCACUCCCUACACAGUGUCUGUGGCCCAGGCAGGGCUGACUCAGCCAUCCUCAGUGACCAAGUCCCUGCGACAGACAGCGACCCUCACCUGCACCGGAAACAGCAACAAUGUUGGCAAUCAGGGAGCAGCUUGGCUGCAGCAACUCCCAGGCCAAGCUCCCAAACUCCUGACCUACAGGAAUAACAACCGGCCCUCAGGGGUGUCCGAGAGAUUCUCGAGCUCCAGGUCAGGCAGCGUGUCCUCCUUGAGCAUCUCUGAGCUCAAGCCUGAGGAUGAGGCUGAUUAUUACUGCUCAGCGUGGGACAGCAGCUUGAAUGCUUGCACAGUGCUUCAGGCCUGUGGGGAAGUGAGACAAACACUUGCUGUCUUUCCUGAAAUGGGGCUUCCCUGA